AUCAACUUUCGAUGGUAGGAUAGAGGCCUACCAUGGUGGUAACGGGUAACGGGGUGUUAGGGCACGACACCGGAGAGGGAGCCUGAGAAACGGCUACCACAUCCAAGGAUGGCAGCAGGCGCGCAAAUUACCCAAUCCCGACACGGGGAGGUAGUGACAAUAAAUAACAAUACGGGGUUCUUUCGGAUUUCGUAAUUGGAAUGAGUACAAUUUAAAUCUCUUAACGAGGAACAAUUGGAGGGCAAGUCUGGUGCCAGCAGCCGCGGUAAUUCCAGCUCCAAUAGCGUAUAUUAAAGUUGUUGCAGUUAAAAAGCUCGUAGUUGAAUUUCGGGAUCAGUACGUCGGUCGUGCCUCUGGUAUGUACUGGUGUUACUGGUUCCUCCCUUCUGAAGAACUGUCAUGUCAUUUAUUUGGUGUGGCGGGGAAUCAGGACUGUUACUUUGAAAAAAUUAGAGUGUUUAAAGCAGGCUCGCGCUUGAAUACAUUAGCAUGGAAUAAUGAAAUAGGACGUUUGAUCCUAUUUUGUUGGUUUCUAGGAUUGACGUAAUGAUUAAUAGGGAUAGUUGGGGGCAUUAGUAUUCAAUUGUCAGAGGUGAAAUUCUUGGAUUUAUUGAAGACUAACUACUGCGAAAGCAUUUGCCAAGGAUGUUUUCAUUAAUCAAGAACGAAAGUUAGGGGAUCGAAGACGAUCAGAUACCGUCGUAGUCUUAACCAUAAACUAUGCCGACUAGGGAUCGGAUGAUGUUAAUUUUUUAAUGACUCAUUCGGCGCCUUACGGGAAACCAAAGUGUUUGGGUUC
RNAcentral lists this ribosomal RNA (799 nucleotides) under uncultured Glomeromycotina. RNAcentral describes it as "SSU rRNA". It matches the Rfam family "Eukaryotic small subunit ribosomal RNA", at positions 314 to 1114 of the family's 1831-position model. Lineage: Eukaryota; Fungi; Glomeromycota. The record is from RNAcentral.